RNAcentral lists this ribosomal RNA (203 nucleotides) under uncultured bacterium. RNAcentral's name for it is "partial 16S ribosomal RNA". It matches the Rfam family "Bacterial small subunit ribosomal RNA", at positions 328 to 539 of the family's 1533-position model. The record is from RNAcentral.
ACGCUCGACACCUACGGGAGCAGCAGUGGGGAAUAUUGCACAAUGGGGGAAACCCUGAUGCAGCAACGCCGCGUGAAGGAAGAAGGUUUUCGGAUCGUAAACUUCUAUCAAUAGGGAAGAAAGGAAAUGACGGUACCUAAAUAAGAAGCCCCGGCUAAACUACCGUGCCGGCAGGCGCGGUAAUCUGAGCGGGCUGGCAAGGC